This 449-nucleotide ribosomal RNA is filed under the name uncultured bacterium. RNAcentral describes it as "partial 16S ribosomal RNA". It matches the Rfam family "Bacterial small subunit ribosomal RNA", at positions 330 to 795 of the family's 1533-position model. The record is from RNAcentral.
UCCAGACUCCUACGGGAGGCAGCAGUGGGGGAUAUUGCACAAUGGGGGGAACCCUGAUGCAGCGACGCCGCGUGGGUGAAGGAGCGUUUCGGCGCGUAAAGCCCUAUCGGCAGGGAAGAAGGAGGACGGUACCUGACUAAGAAGCCCCGGCUAACUACGUGCCAGCAGCCGCGGUAAUACGUAGGGGGCAAGCGUUAUCCGGAUUUACUGGGUGUAAAGGGGGCGCAGACGGCAGCGCAAGCCAGGAGUGAAAGCCCGGGGCCCAACCCCGGGACUGCUCUUGGAACUGCGCGGCUGGAGUGCAGGAGGGGCAGGCGGAAUUCCUGGUGUAGCGGUGAAAUGCGUAGAUAUCAGGAGGAACACCGGUGGCGAAGGCGGCCUGCUGGACUGCGACUGACGUUGAGGCCCGAAAGCGUGGGGAGCAAACAGGAUUAGAUACCCCCGUAGAA